This 880-nucleotide unclassified non-coding RNA is filed under the name Hevea brasiliensis (rubber tree). Lineage: Eukaryota; Viridiplantae; Streptophyta; Magnoliopsida; Malpighiales; Euphorbiaceae. The record is from RNAcentral.
AUGUCAUGCAAACUCAAAAUCCUGAUUCUCUAGUCAUCAUAUGGAUGCCAAUUGCCAAAAGGUGAAAAUAGAUCAAGUUAGCUUCGUUCUUUCUCAAGUUCUUUUUCCUUUGAAAAUUUCUUGCCUUUUUCUCGACUGGAGGCACUUCCCCUGGCUCCGCCUAGGUGCCAAGGCAACGCCUAGUUGAAGGCAACUUGCCUGGAGUCUUCCCAAGCGAGGUGCCGGGAUUUUGCCUUGCCGGGCGCCUCUUGACAACAAUGAUAUCAAUCAGAUAUAAAGCUACAGAAAAAGCGUAUGUCUCCUUAAUUCUAUUCAAAAAGACACAUAACAUUAAAGCACAUAAAAAUAAGAAGUAUAACACUUCAAAGGGAGAAAAACAAGAACUUGCACACUCAGGAUGUCAGUCCUUUUUUUGGGUGCUUUAGUUCAUGUCUACAUUAGAUAUCAAAAUCAUACUUAUAUUAUCAUCCUCUUUUUUUCUUAAUUUAUGAAUUUUAAAGGAUGACAAGGAGGUGCAGCUCAUCUUGUCACCCAUAUCAGGACCUCAACUACCCUUUUACUCAAGUAAGACCUAUUUAUGGACUCCAAAAGCCUAUUAUCAGUACCCUUUAAAAUUGAGAUUGGCAUUAUAAUUAUGGUCAAAAGAGAUGUUUCCACACCUUUUUAGAAGUGCUAUCCUAAACCAAAGCUUUUAGGAUGUGUAACUGAAAAGAAUAAUAACUAAACAACUAUGCUGGUACUAUCAAAUGAAAAUUACCUCAUUGGUGAAUUUAAAAUAUUACAAUAUUUUACAUCACAUGCCAUUGACUAAAAUAGAUUUCUGACGCUUGGCUAUUUUAAACAUAAGUUAAACAAAAUGACAUAAUUUGUAUUACCUUCG